This 299-nucleotide unclassified non-coding RNA is filed under the name Hevea brasiliensis (rubber tree). Lineage: Eukaryota; Viridiplantae; Streptophyta; Magnoliopsida; Malpighiales; Euphorbiaceae. The record is from RNAcentral.
UUUUUUUUUUUUUAAUUUUUCUCUGAAGUUAUUUUUGUCAGAAAAUACUUUAGUUGUCAUAGCAGAUUAAUUAGUGCGUUAGCUUUGGCGUAAUUGUCGAAAUUUUUCUGUAAUAAAUAUUGUCAAAGUUCCCUGGAUUUUUUUUCUCCAGACUCGGCGUCAAAAUGGAGUUGCAAGUGUAUCCAGUCCAUCUGCUAGGGGUUCAUUUAGUUGUUGUUAUUUAUUUUUAACUAUAUUUGAAUUGGCUAUUCAUUUAUUAGUUGGCUUUAUUAAUAACAAGCUUAUUUUUCGGCCAAAAA